This 104-nucleotide ribosomal RNA is filed under the name Acanthosepion pharaonis. The record is from RNAcentral. Lineage: Eukaryota; Metazoa; Mollusca; Cephalopoda; Sepiida; Sepiidae.
UUACGGUCAAAUCACGCUGAAACACCGGUUCUCGUUCGAUCACCGAAGUUAAACAUCGUAGAGGCAGGUCAGUACUUAGAUGGGGGACCGCUUGGGAACACCUG